Molecule: ribosomal RNA, 429 nt
Filed under: Chloroflexota bacterium
Lineage: Bacteria; Bacillati; Chloroflexota
Description: Chloroflexi bacterium partial 16S ribosomal RNA
Rfam family: Bacterial small subunit ribosomal RNA
Source: RNAcentral
UGGGGAAUAUUGCACAAUGGGCGCAAGCCUGAUGCAGCCAUGCCGCGUGUGUGAAGAAGGCCUUCGGGUUGUAAAGCACUUUCAGCGGGGAGGAAGGCGAUAAGGUUAAUAACCUUGUCGAUUGACGUUACCCGCAGAAGAAGCACCGGCUAACUCCGUGCCAGCAGCCGCGGUAAUACGGAGGGUGCAAGCGUUAAUCGGAAUUACUGGGCGUAAAGCGCACGCAGGCGGUUUGUUAAGUCAGAUGUGAAAUCCCCGGGCUCAACCUGGGAACUGCAUCUGAUACUGGCAAGCUUGAGUCUCGUAGAGGGGGGUAGAAUUCCAGGUGUAGCGGUGAAAUGCGUAGAGAGCUGGAGGAAUACCGGUGGCGAAGGCGGCCCCCUGGACGAAGACUGACGCUCAGGUGCGAAAGCGUGGGGAGCAAACAGG